UAAUGACUCCACAUGGAAAUCUUGUCAAUUGUGAGGAAUGGGAAUUAAUGACAUUGGCUGCUAAAAUGGAGUGAAGAAGGUAGGUGAACAGCUCUGGUCUAAGACCAAGGUUCCCAUGCAGGACUUGGUUUUUCUGCUGGGCUUUAAGACCCCAAAGCCCAAGAAAAUGCUAUCGUCUUAUGAAAUUUCCAAGAAGAAGACCAUCCACCUCACCUUAAAGGUGGUGAAGCCCAAGAUGCGGAGCUGCCCAUGUUUCUGGUGGAAACAUGUGAUGAGGAGCAGAGAAAUCUCCUCCUGGCAUGACUUAAUUUAAAAAAAUAUGGUAGAUUAUGGCAUCAGAAAGGACAAAUUACAUUUCUUGACAUACCACUCCACUGGAGGU
Molecule: long non-coding RNA, 382 nt
Filed under: Homo sapiens (human)
Lineage: Eukaryota; Metazoa; Chordata; Mammalia; Primates; Hominidae
Description: HSALNT0103518
Source: RNAcentral